This is a small nuclear RNA of Arvicanthis niloticus (Nile rat), 107 nucleotides long. NCBI's taxonomy places the organism in Eukaryota, Metazoa, Chordata, Mammalia, Rodentia, Muridae. The record is from RefSeq and is a predicted model, not a curated record.
GUGCUCACUUUGGCAGCACAUAUACUAAAAUUGGAACGAUACAGAGAAGAUUAGCAUGGCCUCUGCACAAGGAUGACAGCAAGAAGAAGAAAAAGAAGAAGAAAGAG